GUUAAAUGAACCGUAGUUGUUCAAAAAGAAAAAACUUCUCUUUCAUCAAAACGAGAAGAAGAAGAAGAAAAACUCCAUAGCCACCGAUCUCCCUCCGUGGUUGGCCGUGCUUCUCACUGCCGCUACGUGAGGGAGGAUCUGCUCCUCCUCUUUAGUUUGAGCUUAGUCUUGUCUAAUUUCGUCUUGUGUUUUUAAGUUUUUUGUGAAUCGGAUCGGUGAUUCGAUCGUUUAAGUCUCCGGCGACGCUCCUUCUUCUUCGGUGGUCGUCCGGCUCUGUCUCUGGGAAGCGAUAGCUCUUUUUGCAUCGGCUUUGCCGGCUUUUGUUUUCGGGAGGGGAUGGCUUCUCUAGCAUCUCUAUCGCCGGCUCUGUGUCUCCGGGAAGGGAUGGCUUCUCUAGCAUCUCGAUCGCUGGCUUUGUGUCUCCGGGAAGGGAUGGCUUCUCUAGCAUCUCGAUCGCCGGCUUUUUCUCAGAGAGUAUCCGGUUAGUCUAUGCCGUCGACGUUGAUCCGUAGAAUCGUCGUGAUAGCUCCGGAGGGUUCGAUUACGACACGGGUGGACUGUUCCGUGUUGGUAAUGGUUUGUUGUGGGCUUUAGGCCCAAGUUUGGUUUAGCAAGUGAACGGUUUGUCUGUGUACCUUUUACUUAUGAAUGUUGUAGUCUCGGAUUUGGUUCUUUUUCGGACUUUCGAUCCACUAAUAAAAUUCUUGACGGAAAAAAAAAAAAAAA
Molecule: long non-coding RNA, 726 nt
Organism: Brassica rapa (field mustard)
Lineage: Eukaryota; Viridiplantae; Streptophyta; Magnoliopsida; Brassicales; Brassicaceae
Source: RefSeq, a predicted model, not a curated record